UCACAUAUAAGUGCAGCUGCAGAGGGCUUUGCACUAUUUCUGCUUUUUUGCUCUGACAGAUAACAGUUAAGAUGAAACCACUGUUGUGUGCCUUUUUCUUCUUGCUGGUGUGCUGCGUGUUCAUCAAUGCUGAGGAGGAUACAAAAGUAAUGACAACUAAACCAGCUAAGCCCGCAGCGACAGAGAAGCCAAAGACAUCUGGUGCCAGCACUAUGGAUGGACUGUCCGCACUGCAGUUGCUGAUGACCUUGAUUCCUGCUCUCCUCUGCAAAGUGUUUUAACAGUUCAUCUCAGGCUAUGGCAUGAAGGACACACGUCAUCAAAUAAAUGAUUCCCUAUACAUGAUUGGUGUGAUUCCGGCUGAGAUGGAAGAGAUUUGUUUGGUAAAAAACACAUAGGGUAUGUUAAAGUGGUGAAAUUGUAACAUCAUAACAAAGACAAAUAAAGAGCUGUUCUGACGGCAACACAAAUAAAUUACCGAAUCAAUA
Clupea harengus (Atlantic herring) is the source of this 488-nucleotide long non-coding RNA. RefSeq lists it as uncharacterized. NCBI's taxonomy places the organism in Eukaryota, Metazoa, Chordata, Actinopteri, Clupeiformes, Clupeidae. The record is from RefSeq and is a predicted model, not a curated record.